AACGAACGCUGGCGGCAUGCCUAACACAUGCAAGUCGAACGAGACCUUCGGGUCUAGUGGCGCACGGGUGCGUAACGCGUGGGAACCUGCUCUUAGGUUCGGAAUAACUCCCCGAAAGGGGUGCUAAUACCGGAUAAUGUCUUCGGACCAAAGAUUUAUCGCCUUUGGAUGGGCCCGCGUUGGAUUAGCUAGUUGGUAGGGUAAAAGCCUACCAAGGCGACGAUCCAUAGCUGGUCUGAGAGGAUGAUCAGCCACACUGGGACUGAGACACGGCCCAGACUCCUACGGGAGGCAGCAGUGGGGAAUAUUGGACAAUGGGCGAAAGCCUGAUCCAGCAAUGCCGCGUGAGUGAUGAAGGCCUUAGGGUUGUAAAGCUCUUUUACCCGGGAUGAUAAUGACAGUACCGGGAGAAUAAGCUCCGGCUAACUCCGU
Molecule: ribosomal RNA, 432 nt
Filed under: uncultured bacterium
Lineage: Bacteria
Description: partial 16S ribosomal RNA
Rfam family: Bacterial small subunit ribosomal RNA
Source: RNAcentral